Molecule: ribosomal RNA, 206 nt
Filed under: uncultured bacterium
Lineage: Bacteria
Description: partial 16S ribosomal RNA
Rfam family: Bacterial small subunit ribosomal RNA
Source: RNAcentral
CUCGUAGGCGGACUGUCACGUCUGCUGUGAAAAGCUGGGCUUAACCCUGGCCUUGCAGUGGAUACGGGCAGACUAGAGGUAGGUAGGGGAGAAUGGAAUUCCCGGUGUAGCGGUGAAAUGCGCAGAUAUCGGGAGGAACACCGGUGGCGAAGGCGGUUCUCUGGGCCUUACUGACGCUGAGGAGCGAAAGCGUGGGGAGCGAACAG